AUAAGUAUGAGGUAAUUGUUUUGCAAGGGAACCUUUGUUUAUUGGAGUCAAUUAGGAAUAUUUGUAACGGUGGGAAUUCUCCAGGAGCGUAUUUGAAUAUUUGGGUAAUGAAAGAAUAUGGCGUGACAGAGUCUUGGAACAAAUUUGAUAACCAUCACACAAGAGAGAGUAUACUCAGUUUCAGCACAUUUUUGUUUUAAGAAUGAUGCAGUUUUUAUAGUUAACAAGUCACUUUGGGAUGUUUCUGCAUUGCUGCGGUAUGAUUUGAAGAAUAAAGAAUUGAAGACUCUGAAGACUUUCGAAAUUGAGGUUCCUGAAAUGGUUUCAUAUGUUGAGAGUCUAGUUUCACCAAAUUUAAUUUGAAUAGGAUGUGGAUUUUUUUUUUUUAUUGUUUUAUUUUAUUUACAAUAGCAAUUUGUCAUAUCCAUCAAUUUCAAUUCCUUAAUUUCAUGGCUUUUAUUAUGUUUCAUUUGUUGUUUUUCUUUGACUUUAUAUGUUACUUCUUUUCUGGUACAUAUAAUUUAUGCUCUUGAGGCUUCUGCA
Non-coding RNA from Jatropha curcas, 543 nucleotides. NCBI's taxonomy places the organism in Eukaryota, Viridiplantae, Streptophyta, Magnoliopsida, Malpighiales, Euphorbiaceae. The record is from RefSeq and is a predicted model, not a curated record.